AUUGAACGCUGGCGGCAUGCCUUACACAUGCAAGUCGAACGGCAGCACGGGAGCAAUCCUGGUGGCGAGUGGCGAACGGGUGAGUAAUAUAUCGGAACGUGCCCGGUCGUGGGGAUAACGUAGCGAAAGCUACGCUAAUACCGCAUACGAUCUACGGAUGAAAGCGGGGGAUCGCAAGACCUCGCGCGAUUGGAGCGGCCGAUAUCAGAUUAGGUAGUUGGUGAGGUAAAGGCUCACCAAGCCGACGAUCUGUAGCUGGUCUGAGAGGACGACCAGCCACACUGGGACUGAGACACGGCCCAGACUCCUACGGGAGGCAGCAGUGAGGAAUAUUGGACAAUGGGCGCAAGCCUGAUCCAGCCAUGCCGCGUGCAGGAUGACGGUCCUAUGGAUUGUAACUGCUUUUAUACAGGAAGAAACACUACUUCGUGAAGUAGCUUGACGGUACUGUAAGAAUAAGGAUCGG
Molecule: ribosomal RNA, 466 nt
Filed under: uncultured bacterium
Lineage: Bacteria
Description: bacterial SSU rRNA
Rfam family: Bacterial small subunit ribosomal RNA
Source: RNAcentral